Molecule: unclassified non-coding RNA, 343 nt
Filed under: soil metagenome
Description: partial contains 5.8S ribosomal RNA, internal transcribed spacer 2, and large subunit ribosomal RNA
Rfam family: 5.8S ribosomal RNA (bases 1-120)
Source: RNAcentral
GAUGAAGAACGUAGCGAAAUGCGAUAAGUAAUGUGAAUUGCAGAAUUCAGUGAAUCAUCGAAUCUUUGAACGCACAUUGCGCCCUCUGGUAUUCCGGGGGGCAUGCCUGUUCGAGCGUCAUUACAACCCUCAAGCCCCCGGGCUUGGUGUUGGGGAUCGGCGAGCCUCCGCGCCCGCCGUCCCCUAAAUCUAGUGGCGGUCUCGCUGUAGCUUCCUCUGCGUAGUAGCACACCUCGCACUGGGAAACAGCGCGGCCACGCCGUUAAACCCCCAACUUCUGAACGUUUGACCUCGGAUCAGGUAGGAAUACCCGCUGAACUUAAGCAUAUCAAUAAGCGGAGGA